UCCGCAGGUGGUUUAUCGCAUCUCCUGUUAAAUCCCAGGGCUCAACCCUGGGGCCGCAGGAGAGAUGGGUAAACUAGAGGCCGGAAGAGGCAAGCGGAAUUGCUGGUGUAGGGGUUAAAUCCGUUAAUAUCAGCAGGAACACCAAAUGCGAAGGCAGCUUGCUAAGACGCGCCUGACACUCAGGGACGAAAGCGUGGGGAGCGGAUG
Molecule: ribosomal RNA, 207 nt
Filed under: uncultured bacterium
Lineage: Bacteria
Description: partial 16S ribosomal RNA
Rfam family: Bacterial small subunit ribosomal RNA
Source: RNAcentral